GCCCAAGUUCAGCACUACCGACCGCGUUCCCGUAGCCGUAGCUGCCUGGACCCGUUCCACCCCUCGCGCUCCACCGCGACGACGUCCCCGGCGAUGUCGACCUGCGGCACUGCUCAGUCGACAGUCCCUGACGCACAGUAGACGCGCGCCCCUGACGCCACGUUACCUGCUCAAUCCCUUUCUGCCGGGUCAAGAUUAAGCCCUGGAUGCAUCUCGUCGAUCACACGAUGGCUGCCUGCCCUGUCUCCUUCACACGUCAACUCCUCGUCCGAUGGCUGCGUGUGGUGGGUGAGAACUGAGACGUGGGGAAAACACAAUAUUACAGGUUCAUAACUUGGACCCUGUCAACAUCCAUGCGCAAACCCUUUUUCAUUCCAAGCCGAGCACCACGGAAUGUAAAUUCAUUCCCCAUGUUGCUGAUGGGAUUAGAACCGAGGCGGUGGUUAUGUGUGGAUGAUGUGUAACUAUUGUAAAUUCUCUGGGGUUUAAUCGGGUGAAGGCAGAAUCGAAUUUCCUAAUGUCAUCUCAUUUUGUUGGCCAAACAAGAC
RNAcentral lists this long non-coding RNA (548 nucleotides) under Hordeum vulgare. RNAcentral describes it as "long non-coding RNA (HVUL_LNC011586)". The record is from RNAcentral. Lineage: Eukaryota; Viridiplantae; Streptophyta; Magnoliopsida; Poales; Poaceae.